This 450-nucleotide ribosomal RNA is filed under the name uncultured bacterium. RNAcentral's name for it is "partial 16S ribosomal RNA". It matches the Rfam family "Bacterial small subunit ribosomal RNA", at positions 354 to 796 of the family's 1533-position model. The record is from RNAcentral.
GUGGGGAAUCUUCCGCAAUGGACGAAAGUCUGACGGAGCAACGCCGCGUGAGUGAUGAAGGUCUUCGGAUUGUAAAGCUCUGUUAAUCGGGACGAAAGAGCCUAGUGUGAAUAAUGCUAGGAAGUGACGGUACCGGAAUAGAAAGCCACGGCUAACUACGUGCCAGCAGCCGCGGUAAUACGUAGGUGGCAAGCGUUGUCCGGAAUUAUUGGGCGUAAAGCGCGCGCAGGCGGAUCUGCCAGUCUGUCUUAAAAGUUCGGGGCUUAACCCCGUGAUGGGAUGGAAACUACAGAUCUAGAGUAUCGGAGAGGAAAGUGGAAUUCCUAGUGUAGCGGUGAAAUGCGUAGAUAUUAGGAGGAACACCAGUGGCGAAGGCGACUUUCUGGACUGUACCUGACGCUGAGGCGCGAAAGCGUGGGGAGCGAACAGGAUUAGAAACCCGGGUAGUCC